AAAGGCGCUCUUGGAAAUGGCAAGAUCCAAGAAUAAUGAUGUUGUUGCACAAGUUGCAAGGGGUAUAGCUAAUUUUGCAAAAUGCGAAUCUCGAGGCAUACUUCAAGGACACAAAAAGGGCCGUUCACUACUAAUGGAAGAUGGUGCUCUUGAAUGGUUAAUUGCCUACUCUAACACUACUUCGGUGUCAACCAGGCGCNNNNNNNNGAGCUUGCUCUUUGUCAUUUGGCUCAAAAUGAGGACAAUGUCAAGGAUUUCAUUUCUGGAGGAGGUGUUAAAGAACUUGUACGAAUAUCAGUUGAAUCUAGUAGGGAAGAUAUCCGUAACCUUGCAAAGAAGACCCUGAAAAUGAACCCAACAUUUCAAGCUGAUAUACGUUGGGAGUAGCAGUAAAUUGUCAAGCUUUCAUACUCUCCCCCUAAUAGUAUAAUGCUUGGGUACAAAAUCAAUAGUAAAUUUGGCAGAAAAUUCUCUGAUAAUUUUUUGAACAGCUGUCCUGGCAAUUUUCGUUUUUCUUGGGCUUAAGAUCUAAAUUAGAC
Molecule: unclassified non-coding RNA, 539 nt
Filed under: Hevea brasiliensis (rubber tree)
Lineage: Eukaryota; Viridiplantae; Streptophyta; Magnoliopsida; Malpighiales; Euphorbiaceae
Source: RNAcentral